RNAcentral lists this unclassified non-coding RNA (330 nucleotides) under soil metagenome. RNAcentral describes it as "partial contains 5.8S ribosomal RNA, internal transcribed spacer 2, and large subunit ribosomal RNA". The stretch from base 1 to 120 matches the Rfam family "5.8S ribosomal RNA", at positions 35 to 154 of the family's 154-position model. The record is from RNAcentral.
GAUGAAGAACGCAGCGAAAUGCGAUAAGUAAUGUGAAUUGCAGAAUUCAGUGAAUCAUCGAAUCUUUGAACGCACAUUGCGCCCCCUGGUAUUCCGGGGGGCAUGCCUGUUCGAGCGGCAUUUCACCACUCAAGCCUCGCUUGGUAUUGGGCAACGCGGUCCGCCGCGUGCCUCAAAUCGACCGGCUGGGUCUUCUGUCCCCUAAGCGUUGUGGAAACUUUCGCUAAAGGGUGUUCGGGAGGCUACGCCGUAAAACAACCCCAUUUCUAAGGUUGACCUCGGAUCAGGUAGGGAUACCCGCUGAACUUAAGCAUAUCAAUAAGCGGAGGA